GUGUCAGCAGCCGCGGUAAUACGUACUGUGCGAACGUUAUUCGGAAUCACUGGGCUUAAAGGGUGUGUAGGCGGCCGUUUAAGUAGGGUGUGAAAGGCCUCGGCCUAACCGAGGCAUUGCGCUCUAAACUGAUCGGCUUGAGUAAGAUAGGGGUGUGCGGAACUUCCAGUGGAGCGGUGAAAUGUGUUGAUAUUGGAAGGAACGCCGGUGGCGAAAGCGGCACACUGGGUCUUAACUGACGCUGAGACACGAAAGCCAGGGGAGCGAACGGGAUUAGAUACCCCGGUAGUCC
Molecule: ribosomal RNA, 292 nt
Filed under: uncultured bacterium
Lineage: Bacteria
Description: partial 16S ribosomal RNA
Rfam family: Bacterial small subunit ribosomal RNA
Source: RNAcentral